RNAcentral lists this ribosomal RNA (455 nucleotides) under uncultured bacterium. RNAcentral describes it as "bacterial SSU rRNA". It matches the Rfam family "Bacterial small subunit ribosomal RNA", at positions 340 to 786 of the family's 1533-position model. The record is from RNAcentral.
UACGGGAGGCAGCAGUGGGGAAUAUUGCACAAUGGGCGAAAGCCUGAUGCAGCUAUGCCGCGUGUAUGAAGAAGGCCUUAGGGUUGUAAAGUACUUUCAUCGGGGAGGAAAAAACAAAACUAAUAAUUUUAUUUCUUGACGUUACCCGAAAAAGAAGCACCGGCUAACUCCGUGCCAGCAGCCGCGGUAAUACGGAGGGUGCUAGCGUUAAUCAGAAUUACUGGGCGUAAAGAGCACGUAGGUGGUUUUUUUAAGUCAGAUGUGAAUCCCUGGGCUUAACCUAGGAACUGCAUUUUGAAACUGAAAUACUAGAGUAUCGUAGAGGGAGGUAGAAUUCUAGGUGUAGCGGUGAAAUGCGUAGAUAUCUGGAGGAAUACCUGUGGCGAAAGCGGCCUCCUAAACGAAUACUGACACUGAGGUGCAAAAGCGUGGGGAGCAAACAGGGAUUAGAUACC